Long non-coding RNA from Mauremys reevesii (Reeves's turtle), 173 nucleotides. RefSeq lists it as uncharacterized. The record is from RefSeq and is a predicted model, not a curated record. Lineage: Eukaryota; Metazoa; Chordata; Testudines; Geoemydidae. The transcript is spliced from 4 exons.
AGUGGACCCUCUGCCAGAGACAACUCUGCACAGCCAAAGAUCAGCCAUAUUACUUCCUCUCCUUUCAGAGGGUCAGGAGGCUCCUCAUGGAAAUCCAUGGGUCCAGCCCGCCUUUAAAUUUCCAGCAGGCCAUCUUCAUGGAAUGCUCUCCAAGCAAGGAAACAAGCUCAAGG